RNA transcript from Ictalurus furcatus (blue catfish), 3105 nucleotides. It is a transcript of the gene named probable RNA-binding protein 18, with no coding region annotated. The transcript is spliced from 6 exons. The record is from RefSeq and is a predicted model, not a curated record. Lineage: Eukaryota; Metazoa; Chordata; Actinopteri; Siluriformes; Ictaluridae.
UAUUGCUAGCACAGACGCUAAAUAUCGGCUGGCAGAAAGAAAUUUAGCGAUUUAGUUUACGAUAUGGUUUGUUUUUAAAUCAUUUCUAAUCACUGCGACUUUAUUUCUUGCUUUUAGUCGCGAGCUUGAACAGUACGGAGUCCAAUGCAGUCGGCUACGGAGACGGUGGAGAACGCCUCCAUCCUUUCGAGCGGCUCGUCGCAGGAAGGCCACCGCCUGUGGAUCGGCAACAUCGACGCUAAAAUCACAGAGUAUCACCUGGUGAAGCUCCUGGAGAAAUUCGGACAGGUGGAGCAGUUUGAUUUCCUGUUCCACAAGUCCGGACCGCUGGAGGGUCAGCCGAGAGGAUACUGCUUCGUCAACUUCCACACCAAAGAGGUUCCUCUCACAUGUCUGAUUCAGAAGUGUCCAUGUUUGAUGCUACUUCUGGAGGCUGAACGGGCCAUACAGUGUCUCAAUGGAAAGCUGGCGUUGUCCAAGAAACUGGUGGUGCGUUGGGCCCACGCACAGGUAAUGGUUCUCUCCUCACUAACGGGAAUAAGGAACGAACACACAGACCCGGACCCGGACCCGUCAUGGCGUCUCUACUCUGUCUGGCUAGUCUUUUAGUAAAGUUGUGUAAACGUUUUCAGAUGAACUGAAUAUUUUACAAAAGUUAUCCAGGUUUACGUCCUACUCAAAUGGCUGUAUAUUACCAAGCACAUUCACGAUAUGGUUGUUUAACGUUUAGCCACGCCCACAAACCCCCAUAAACGGCAAAGGGAGCGGAAGAUGGCGGCUAAACAGUGAACGAGCGCCUCCUGAAGUGUAGCGUUAAAUCUUCCGAUAACGCAGCUCAGCUACCAUAGACACACUAACUCCACCCGACACUUUUUAUAGGGUACCAAUACUUUCGAAGGAUGUUCGACAAGAACGAGUCGUUAAUACGAAACGACUCGGUUUCACAUGACUUUCAUUAAACUGAUUCAAUAACGUGAAAAAAAUUUCCAUCUGUGUAUCCAGAGCUUCGUGAUGUGAGAUUUGCAACCGUGGUGUCUUAAUAGGAUCUUCUGUGUGUGUGUGUGUGUGUGUGUGUGUGUGUGUGUGUGUGUGUGUGUGUGUGUGUCAGAGGUUUGAGCCCUACAGAGGAGAUAAGAACCUGCCUGCUAGCUUGGAGCCGUCGUGCAGCGAAGCAGAAGAGCAGCCGACCUCGCUGAGUGCUGUAUCGCCGACCGCCGUGAUUUCCUCAAGCCGUGUGUGUGUGUGUGAGUGAGUGAGAGACGCGCGCGCAGUGGCAUAAACCAUUGAAGAAGAAUAAUGUGUAGUUGUUAAAGCUGCAUUAUCACUACAUAUGUGCUAUAUUAUAGAACUGUUUAUUUGCAUAAUUUUAUAUUCACACAUUGAAAUCUGUAUUUAUUUUAUAAUUAAGUAUCGAGUUGUUUUUGUUUGUUUUGUUGUGCACCUUUCUAACACCCUCUCUAAAGAAAGGAGUAAAUAAAUGUGUCUAAAUAAAAAGACACCCACGGUCACUUUAGAAAGUGAUAUAACACCAAGUAACACAAAUAAACAAACAAACAAAGAUCUAGAUGAACAUUGACAAACAGGUAAGUUUUAUUUGUGUGUUUGUGUGUUUGUUUAUUCAAUUAUUUGUUUGUUUAUUUUGUAACACCCAAAAUUGCUUUUUUAUUUAUGCGACACAGUAAUUAAUAAAUAAAUAAACGAGCAAACAAAUAUGUAAAUAAACAAAUCCCGAUUUUACAAAACUAAGUAAUUUAAAAUCAUUUCUUUCUUUCUUUUUUUUUUCCCCGAGCCUUUCUAACACCCAUGGUCUAAAUACAUUUGAAAUACUUAGCUGUUUUGGAUGUUUAUGUAUUUGUUUGUUUGUUUGUUUGUUUGUUGUGUUACUUCAUGUUACACAUUUGUAAGUAUUAGAAAGGCUCCAAAGAAGAAGAAAAAAUGCAUUUAACAGCUGUUUGUUUGUUUGUUUGUUUGUUUGUUUAUUUAUUUAUUUGGAGCCUUUCAGUACAACCCCAAUUCCAAAACAGUUGGGACGCUGUGUAAAAUGUAAAUAAAAACAGAAUGCAAUGAUUUGCAAAUCUCGUAAACCCGUAUGUUCUUCACAACAGAACACGGAAAACAUAUGGAAUGUUUAAACUGAGUAACUGUACCGUUUUAAGAAAAAAAAUAAGGACAUUUUGAAUUUGGCGUCUCAAAACAGUUGGGACGGGGGGCAGCAAAAGGCUGGAAAAGUAAGUGUUAGUAAAAAGAAAGAGCUGGAGGUUCAUUGGGAACGGGUCAGUCAGAUGAUUGGGGAUAAAGAGAGGAUCUUAGAGAGGCGGAGUCUUUCAGAAGUAAAGAUGGACAGAGUUUCACUGAUCUGUGAAAAACUGCAUCUACAAUUUGUGGAACAAUUUCAGAACAACGUUCCUCAACGUAAAAUUGUGAAGACUAUGAAUAUCUCAUCAUCUACAAAACAUAUCGUCAAAAGAUUCUGAGAAUCUGGAGAGAGGGGCGAGGGUGAAAAUCAAUACUGCAUGCCCGUGAUCUUCGGGCCCUCAGGAGCCACUGUAUUAAAAACAGACAUGAUUCUGUAAUGGAAAUCACUGCAUGGGCUCGGAAACACCUCCAGAACUCAUCGUCUGUGAACACGGUUCACCGAGCCGUCCACAAACGCUGGUUAAAGCUCUAUCAGGCACGGAAGAAGCCGUAUGUGAACGUGAUCCAGAAACGCCGCCGUCUUCUCUGGGACAAAGCUCAUUUAAAAUGGACCGAGGUGACGUGGGAAACUGUUCUGUGGUCAGACGAAUCCAAAUGUGAAAUUCUUUUUGGAACCCAUGAACACCAUGUCCUCUAAACUAAAGAGGAGAGGGACUGUCCAGAUUUUUAUCAGCGCUCGGUUCAAAAGCCCGCGUCUCUGAUGGUAUGGGGGGCGUCAGUGCCUAUGGAAUGCGCAGCAUGCACAUCUGGAAAGGCGACAUCAUUGUUGACAGGUAUAUACAGGUUUUAGAGCAACAUCCAGAUUUCAUCCUACCUUUACUUCUGAAAGACUCCGCCUUUCGAAGAUCCUCUUUUUAUCCCCAAUCAUCUGACUGACCUGUUCCCGAUGAACCUCCAGCUGUUAUGUUG